Molecule: ribosomal RNA, 468 nt
Filed under: uncultured bacterium
Lineage: Bacteria
Description: partial 16S ribosomal RNA
Rfam family: Bacterial small subunit ribosomal RNA
Source: RNAcentral
GACGAACGCUGGCGGCGUGCUUAACACAUGCAAGUCGAACGGAAAGGCCCUGCUUUUGUGGGGUGCUCGAGUUGCGAACUGGUGAGUAACACGUGAGUAACCUGCCCUUGACUUUGGGAUAACUUCAGGAAACUGGGUCUAAUACCGGCUAGGAUCUCCUGCUUCAUGGUGGGGGUUGGAAAGUUUCGGCGGUUGGGGAUGGACUCGCGGCUUAUCAGCUUGUUGGUGGGGUAGUGGCUUACCAAGGCUUUGACCGGUAGCCGGCCUGAGAGGGUGACCGGCCACAUUGGGAAUGAGAUACGGGACAGACCCCUACGGGAGGCAGCAGUGGGGAAUAUUGAACAAUGGGCGGAAGCCUGAUGCAGCAACGACGAGUGCGGGAUGACGGACUUCGGGUUGUAAACCGCAUUCGCCUGUGACGAAGCGUGAGUGAGGGUAAUGGGUAAAGAAGCACCGGCUAAAUACGUG